Molecule: non-coding RNA, 29 nt
Filed under: Mus musculus (house mouse)
Lineage: Eukaryota; Metazoa; Chordata; Mammalia; Rodentia; Muridae
Source: RNAcentral
ACAGCUGUGCCUGGAGGGCCACUGGAUCC